AUCGAUAUCACUAUGUGGGUCAAGAAGUUUGUUGCUGUCACUCAUACACAGAGAGAGAGAGAGGACAAGAGUUUGGGAUUUGCUUUGGGUUGCUAAGCUUCCACUGUGGACUCUGGGAAUCCAACAUUCCCUGAGAAGGUGAGAAUCUCGAGGGACUGAACAUGGAGAUUGGUGAUGCAACUGCUCCUCGUGAGAUCUUUGUUAUGUGAAUUAUUUCAAUUUGCUUUUUCUCUUUCUUUUCCAUUUUCUAAUUUUUAUUUAUCAUUUCUCUAUGACCCCAGUUGGUUUUUGUUGCUUUGCUUUACUGAUUCUAAAACACUCGCAAUGUCUCCACGGUCAACAAAAUAUCCCUAUAAACAAUCCAAAAGCAGCCAACUUUAAAAAGCAAAAGCUGCCCCCUGCCCUCUCUCUCUAUACAUGUGUGUCUACAAAUUACUUUUGUGGGUCCUACUGAACCCUGAUGCGUACAUCUUCAUUUAUUGCCGUCUGAUAAAGAAUAGCUGGUGAUGGUCUUGCAAAACAGUACUUGCAAGUAUGCUUGUUAGUAGUUGUUGGGGUCCCAUACCUACAGUAACAUAAUGUAAGCAGUAAGCUCACACUCAUUAGUUAUAAGUAUAGCCCUUGUUGUUUAUAUAGUUGUACGUGCAAUGCAGACCUCAUAGUACCCCCGUUGACCAAUUGAGUGCCAUAUCUGAUGAUCAUCAAUUGGAAGCAAAGCAUCUGCAUUAGAUUAUUAUUAUUGUCAAUGAUCAGACAAAGUUUUAUCAAGAUGGGGUUAGCACUUGAAACAGACAUUAACUUCAAGUGCAAUUCAAGUCUUGAAAGAGACAUUAGCUUCAAAUACAAUUUAAAUGGGCGUUUGUGUUUGGAUGCAGUACCCUUUUGUUCCCACGGCAUGGCUAGCAAGUCUUGAUAUAGGAGUAGGACUUGAUAGAGACAUUGGCUUCAAGUGUCUCUCUCAACAGGGAAAAUUAUCUUGUUCUAGUUAGCUCCUAGCUUCAUUUCCCAUGUUGACUUCAGGUUGAUAUAAAAUGGUACCUAAAGAAUGUGUUUUCUUUUCUA
This is a long non-coding RNA of Hevea brasiliensis (rubber tree), 1062 nucleotides long. RefSeq lists it as uncharacterized. The transcript is spliced from 2 exons. The record is from RefSeq and is a predicted model, not a curated record. Lineage: Eukaryota; Viridiplantae; Streptophyta; Magnoliopsida; Malpighiales; Euphorbiaceae.